AGUUAAGAUGGCGCGGGGAAGUGCCGGGAGCCGUCUCCGUCGCCGCCUCGGGGGAACCGGCCCGGGCCUCGGCCGCCUCUAGUCCUCACACAGCCGAGGCCCUCUCGGUCCCCCGCCGCGGCCCCUCGGCGGGCGGGCCCACGCGCAGCCCUCCGCCACCAACACCACCCCUGUGGCAAGAGGAAAAACAGCAAGUCCAACUCCACAGGUUUGUAAGGAGCAGCCAGCUUUGAUUUGCCCUGCACGUCAUAGCUCAGAAAGUUUUGCUGCUCAUACAAUCCUCAGCAAAGACCAUCCAUUCAUUCCGGGAUUCCCCCAGCUCAUGGACACAGGUCGGUCUCUAACUACAGACAGCCUUCUUCUGGAAACUCUCACCAGCCUGAUUUCUAAACUCCCAGUCCACCUUCACAUUGUUUGCCUGUUUUCAGUGCCUUUCCUCUGCAGAUCUCUCAGUAGGCAGCCGUAAGGAGUCAGCAAAGGCUAACACGGCUGCCCUCAGCUGGAAACCUAGUGUAGUGCCUAUUACAUUUCUCCUGGAACCACUCCUUGUGAGAAAGGCAAUUCAAACUCUAUCUUAAGUGAGCAUCUACUUCCUUUUCAUCUGAGUUAUAAAAGAAUAGUGCCCCCUUUGGCUCAAAUCUAUGCAAUGUGGAGGAAGAAAAGGCAAGAGCUAAUCCUUGCCAUGAAUUCAUCAUUGUCAUCGUCACCAUUUCACCAUUAUCAGCAACAGACUCUAGAAACAACUUGGUGAAGGCUUGAAAAUAGAGGGUAGAGCAGAUAUAGGGCAGCCUUCUCAAGGAUAUCUCCUCCUUUUUUUGAAAAGAGAUGUUCUCUUUUUCUUGCAUCUUUAUUCUCAGUCCAUUUGCCCUACAGCCUCUGUGCUUCCAAGAUGAAGUUCUGAUAAGUGUCUGCUGUGAUAAGAUAAUAAGAGAGUCUAUCUAUGUAGCUUGGAAAUAAACACUGGAAUUGCUUCUCAAAAAUCCAGAUUGAUUUA
Molecule: long non-coding RNA, 994 nt
Filed under: Homo sapiens (human)
Lineage: Eukaryota; Metazoa; Chordata; Mammalia; Primates; Hominidae
Description: HSALNT0389252
Source: RNAcentral